RNAcentral lists this ribosomal RNA (629 nucleotides) under uncultured bacterium. RNAcentral describes it as "bacterial SSU rRNA". It matches the Rfam family "Bacterial small subunit ribosomal RNA", at positions 895 to 1524 of the family's 1533-position model. The record is from RNAcentral.
UGAAACUCAAAGGAAUAGAUGUGGGUCAGCACGAGCGGUGGAACAUAACGUUCACUUCGACGGUACGAGAGGAACCUAACCUGGGCACGAAAUGCUGCUGACCAGCUGUAGAAAUAUGGCCUUCCCGCAAGGGACAGUAGCAUGGGCGCUGCAUGGCUGUCGUCAGUUCGUGCCAUGAGGCGUUGGGUGAAGUCCCGCAACGAGCGCAACCCCUGCACGUAGUUGCCACUCGCAAGAGGGAACUCUACGUGGAGUGCUCCGGAUAAUGGAGAGGAAGGUGGGGAUGACGUCAAGUCCGCAUGGCCUUUAUGUCCAGGGCUACACACGUGUUACAAUGCAGGGCACAAACCGUUGCCAACCCGCGAGGGGGAGCUAAUCGGAAAAAACUCUGCUCAGUUCGGAUUGCAGUCUGCAACUCGACUGCAUGAAGCAGGAAUCGCUAGUAAUGGCGUAUCAGAUCGACGCCGUGAAUACGUUCCCGGGCCUUGUACACACCGCCCGUCACAUCACGAAAGUGAGCUGUACUAGAAGUCGUCGCGCUAACCGCAAGGAGGCAGACGCCCAAGGUAUGACUCAUGAUUGGGGUGAAGUCGUAACAAGGUAGCCGUAGGAGAACCUGCGGCUGGAUC